This 954-nucleotide ribosomal RNA is filed under the name Triticum aestivum (bread wheat). RNAcentral's name for it is "partial small subunit ribosomal RNA". The record is from RNAcentral. Lineage: Eukaryota; Viridiplantae; Streptophyta; Magnoliopsida; Poales; Poaceae.
AUCGCAACCCCGCGCGCUUGUGUCGCUCUCCUCCUCCCAGCCCCUCUGUCAUUUCUAACACGCAACCCCAAACAGAGUCGAGCGAGAGGAGAGAGACAGCCAUGGCGAUUUGGAGCUCCGCCUCGCCGCUCGAUCCAGUGUUUUGGUGGUGACUCGUCCGCGCUCUACCUCGUGCUGCCCCGGUUCCUCUGCUUCCCUUCUGUUCCUGGCAGCGGGAUCUGCGACAUCUCUCGGCCCCGCACCGACCCGUCCCCAUUUCCGCCGCUGGCGAUUUUGUUCGUUGGAUUCGGUAUUUUUCCCCUUCCCUUUUUGUUGUUCCUGUGAUCUGUUAGGUAGUGAGUUGGUUUUGUCUGUCAGAUGUGUUGAUUGUAUCCAUCCCCCGCAGCUAUUUUCCGUGUAGAUUUGUUUAGGUUGCGCCGUUUCUGGGAUGCGUUUGGUUGAUCUGCUAAGCGUGGUAGCUGGGAUGCGCGUUGAGCUGCUGAUCUGUACUUGGUUGGUUGUUCGAAUUCGAGUUGUUCCUGUCAGGUUGGCUUGCUUAGUUGUAGUAGUCUGAUGUAUUCAGUCAAUUCGAACGGAUCUAUUCUGUUCCCUGGCCUAAAUCCCUAGACCGCGUUUUUCUUCACUGGUAUCGCUUAGUGGGUAUGUUGUUUACUCUGCAAUUCCUAUUUGGAUUUAUAGUGAUUUACAGUGCAAUCCUCAUUGUUUUUUAGAGUGAUCUACAGUGUAAUUCAUAUUGGUUUUUAUUGAUGUUUCACUGUAAUUCGUAGUGGGUUCCCACUGUAAUUUUCUAGUGGGUAGGUAGUAGAUUGUAGUGUACUCCUUGGUUAUUUUACAGUGUAAUUACAGUGUAUUUUGUCAGUGGAUUUGCACCGUAUUUGCUAGUGGAAUAACAGUGCACGUGUCAUGUAUAAUUACAGUGUAUUUUUGUCAGUGGAGAUGCAUUGUAUUUGUUAG